GUGUGCAAUGGUGGGUGAACACAGGAAGUUAAAGGCUGUGGCACUGACAAGUCUAGACUUGAAACCUGACACUGACUAGCUGUGAGACUUAACCUCCCUGAGUCUCUGUUUCUUCAUCAGUAAAAUGGGGACAGUAAUGCUUGCCUCAUAGGGUUAUUGUUAGGAUUAAAUGAGUUAGUACAUGGAAGGGGCCCAGCUCAUUAUAGGAUUGUUAUGAGAGUGGGGGAAAUCAUGGAGGUUGAGGGGCUUAGAAAAGUCAUCUCCUCCCACGUAAAUGGGAAAAGAGUCCCAGUGACCCCUUGUCAUCUACAGGCCCAAGUUAAGAUUAUCUGAGAGCCAUUAGAGGAGGCCUAAGGCAAGUGGCUGCCCCUUUGCUUCAGAAAUCAUGAGCUUGGCAGUGGGUCCUGCCUUUAAUGCUGAUGUCCCGGUCAAGACAGGACUGCACUCUUGGCAAAUCUUCUCCACUCUUUGUGUUGGCGACAUAGUGUUUAGUGAAUUUCUUCCUGUUUUCGAGCCCAGAAAUGAUUGCCUUGGUGGCCUGGGCACGUGUUUUCCUCACAGUAUAACAUGCGAGUGGAGAAUGGUUUGCUCCUUUGCAACCAGUUCCCUCCCAUUCCCCACCAGUAUGCACCCCACCCUUCAACAUUGCUCUAAUUCCUGUGGGUCAACAGGCUGAGCCCAGGGGUGUGGAUUUAUGCCCAUCAGAAGUCUGAUUGAGGGUUAGGAAAAAUCAUUUGGGAUGUGAUGACAAUCACAGGCACAGACCCUAGAGUUGUGGCUGCUGUUUCUUUUCAUAGACUAUUCCCAGGGGGCCUUCAUCAUAAGUAGUUGCCAAUAGCUGCUAAAAAUGUUCAUAUUUGUCCAUGGCUAUGGAAAACUUUAAAGGGGAAAAUACCUAUACUUCAGGUCAUCUACUCUCUUUGUCACUCUAAAUUUCAUUCUAUAUUCUUCCAGAAUUUUGGUGUACAUACACAUAUGUACAUACAUGUAUGGACUGACAUACAUACAUAUAGGAAUCUUCUCCCUCCUUAUAUAUGUAUGAAGAGAGAAUGCAUACACACACACACACACACACACACACGCAUAUAAUGGGAUUACGCUGUAGCUUUUCGUUUUUACUUAAUAUAACAUAGACAUAAUUUCUGAUCAGUAAAUGUCUAUUAGAAGUCCACAAUCUGGAGGCCAAAAGCCAAAUUUAGUGCAUAUGGAUGGAAAUUGUUUGGCAUUGUUUUAAAGACUUAAAUUUAAACUCCUUAAGAAGGGGCAUAGAUCUUCCAAUUCCUGACUGGCCCUGAAGGCAUUUGAAGUUGUCAUCCUGCGUUUUAUAUCAUUGUUUACAAUUAUUCUUAUCCCACCAUAUCAGUAUUUUUCAGUAGGGAAAUUUUGGCCAUUUUGAGCCAGAUAAUUCUCUGUUGUGUGGGAUUAUUUUGUACAUUGCAGGACAUUUAGCAUCCCUGAUGCCCACCAGCUCAAUGCCAGCAGUGUCCUCAGGCCUAUGUGAUAACCAAAUCUGACCCCAUGCAUGUCCACACUGGGGCAUCUGUUCUUGUCUUGGGCUAAUGAUGAAAUUAUCACAGGCUCUCCUCCAUAAAUACGUUUAAGUAUGAUGACCUUAAGUCCUAGGAUACCUGGGACAGUCCUGUGGUUCAGGUGUAUUUAUUAAUACCCCUUAGUCAUUUAAUUAAUAUUAAUUAAUUAAUAGCCGUUAGUGACCCUUGUCACUCUCAGAAGUAUCCCUAUUUGGAUGAUAAACCAGUGGGUCGCCCUGAGUAUAAGGCCCUGCUUCAGAAAUGGUUAGAUUUGUCAGGUUCUGCCCAGGAAAGACUAAAUGUGCCAUUGGUGCUAAGCAUGUCUUCCCAGAGUUAAUCUAUAUGUCAUGUGGUAAAUGCCUUCCACUGAGGAUGCUAUGAUCAGAUCCUACUUCCAACUCCAGAGCUGAACAUCGGGGUAGUCAGUGACACAGGCACAUUUUUUAAAAGGUGGGCAGGAAUUGGCUUAAGGCCAGAGCUAGGCUGAAGAAAGAGGAUGUCUGAUGACCCCUUGGAUUCAAGAAGACCUGUAGCAUAUCAUGUAUGGUCUAGAGAGGCCUGCUUAGGCUCCAUGCUUUACAGAUUAAGAAACUGAGGACCAGAGAAAGGAAGGGAAAUAGAACCUCAGGGUAUGAAAGGCUUAAGAGUCUUCUUGCCCUCCCCAACUUGGAAGCUUUCAUUUCCACUGAGCAUAUUCACAGGUGGAGGGUCAGCCUCCAUCAGAACUGCGAGCCAUGGGUCAUAGAUAGCGCACAAGCCACAGGCAGAGGCAGAACCCAGGGAUCCCCAGUUUUGGAUCACAGCACUUCACUUUGUUCUAUUCUGUAUCUCCUUAGAUUUCCUCCCAAGAUACUUAAACCUCCACUCUUCCAUAUACAUCUAAAAGAUGAAACCGAUUUAGAAGUACCAGAUGUAUCUGAGAGAGGAUUCCUAGAGAAUAUAGGAGCUGCACACUCAACAGUCGUGGGCUGGUUUGAGAAGUGGAUUCCAUUGUAUUUGACCCUGGGUACUUUUUCGUUAUCUCCCUAAUACUUCAUUCACUCUAAGCCUGGAUGAACUUUUAUCAGGAAUGCCUGAGUGGCAGCUGGUUAUCUGGGAUGUGGAAGAGGAUUCACCUUGAACUUUGUAACUUCAGAAGAGUCGGGGUCUCAGCAUGAAAGGUGGCUUGGCUUGACCUGGCUGCAGACCUCGCUUCUGCAUGAUGCUGUUUCCAGAUGGACCUUUAAGUGUUCCGAGCAGGCCCCAUGCAGGAAAUAUGUCCUGCAUUGAAUGUCAAGCUUCUUGCUAUUAUUUAUUCUUACUUUUGGCUUUUUAUGGGAUUGGUGCUCCUUUAAAGAGACCUGUUAGCAUUCCUUGUGAGAUGCUCUGUUUAUUAACAAAUGAUUUGCUCUGUGUUGGCUAUAAUGAAUCACUGGCAUUACAACAAUCUGAAAGACCACAGAGUUCUACAAGUGGUACCUUUUCUUCCAUCAAGUUUCUUGAACAUCCUUUCUGAACCUGCUCAUCUAAUCUCACCUUGGAUUCAAGUUCUCCACUAGGAGUAGUGUAUUGCUCCUGGAUUUUAAAAAUUAAAAUGAUUCUGAACAGACAGGGCAGGAAAUACUUUGGGAAUCAAUGCAAGUUAAUAUACAAUAUUAAUCUAAAUAAUACUAUUAUUUUGGGGGCACUAUGUGCUAGAUCUGUGUUAAGCACUUCCAUGAACUACCUCAUUAAAUCCUCAUAACUCCAUUGUGAUAUUAUUAAUUCCCUCAUUUUACAGAAUGCUAACUUGAGGUUCAGAGAAGUUGAAUAGCUUGCUCAACAGUACACAGCUACUAAAUUAUAAGAUUCAAAUUUAGCUCAGUCUGAUGCAGGGCCUGAUCUUAACUAUAGCAUUAUACCAGCUCAGAGGACUCAGAGGGGAGAAUACUCCAUUACCCACUCUCUCUGAGGCGUAUAAGCUCCCAGUGCCUCUGCUUACCAGGGAUACAGUGUGGGGUCACAUAGAGAGCCCUGGCCCUAAAGUCAGAAGAUCUGAAUUUGAGUGGCAACACCUGCCCUUGCCUUUAUUAACUUUAUUGUGAAGGUUGAAUGCUACAAUGUAAAUGACUAAGGUCUUUACAUACAAUUGUAGGUUGUGAUGGCAUGUAUAAAAGAUGAGUCUUCUGUGUAUAGUUAUACCUGUUUCUACCUGUAUGUAUAUAGCCCAAUUAUAUCCAAUGAUGAUAGGCUUGUAUCAGGUUGCUCACAGUUGGAAAAGCCAUUCUUGGGACUAGGAUUUCAAACUGGAAGGGAACUAAGAAGUCAUCUGUACAUUACAAGUGAGGAAAAUGAGGCUUGGUAAGAGAUUUCUUUGUACUUUUCCCAGGACUAGCAGAAUGACAUUGAGAUUUGGAGACCAAUGACUCAGGAGUAGGCAGGGACUGAAAGAGCCAUAACAUUUACAUGCAAUAUUGAAAAGCCUGGGUCAUCUAGUGGGAUGAACCCAGUCUAGUUGGAAGAAGAGCAGCCUGAAGCCAGAGAGAUGGUUAAGAUUGCUGUGGAGAGUAGGAAGAGAAGGUUCCAAGUGGAUGGACAGUGCUGCCUGUAAGGGAGGGUAUUCUGAAAGCUUCACCACGUGAGACAACCUGAUGCUGUUUCUUCCUCCCAUGUCUUUAGGUCCCAUGUGCAAUAUGCAGUGUUCAUGGCUUCCUACCUGGAGAAAGUUAAGUUUUAUUGUGUUCAAGGAGGUUGAGAGUAUAUAUUUGAUGUCCCAAGAUUGAGGAAGUGGUCCAGCAGGAAGACUGCAUUGAGUUACCAACUUGGGUGAAAAAGAUCAAGGUGAAGAUUUUAUUCCACAAAGUAUAAGGGGCCAGUAGGUCUUUACAGAAAUAGGCUCAGGCCCAAGUAUGGUGGAUUAAGACUGACCUGAGAGAACACGAUAUCAGCACAUCCAUUGAUGGGAAGGAAGGACGUUGACCCAAUAGGCCAUUGGCUUUGUGGAACAACAGUCUUGAAAACCCUUGGAGAAGAUAGGUGCAGCCAACUCUGGAGGACUGCCUGAAAGGGAGCAGAGCCUGUAGAGGAGGCAUGGAGCCUCUGGAUGAAGGGCCGGUGCAACAUUCAGAGUUCAGUAUUGAUCGUGUUUGUGAUUUAAACACUCAGAGACCAAGGAAUUGACCACUUUGAUGUGGAUUGAUGGUUUCCUGAUGCUUUAUGACAGGUGUGGCCCAGGGACCUCUCCCCCAAGCCUGGGAGAAUCAUCCUCUGCUGUUAAACAGCUCAAUCAUUUCUCAUCCCUGGCAUCCUCACUGGUCCAUUGGCUCCUCCCUUCCUCCCCUCUUACCUACAAGUGCUGACCCUUCCUGGGCUGCUGCCAAACAUGACCCUGGAUACUGUGAGUCUCAGGCUGCUGGGCUACCAGGAUCAGAAUCAAGAAGGGAAAAGGAUCAAAAUUUAUAGAGUAUCUUUUAGAGUACUAGCAUGGUCAUUUCAUUACCAACUUUGCAAAAUAGGUAUCAUUGAUCCCAUUUUAUAGACGAAUAAGUUGAGUCUGAUGGAUAACUUGCUAUGUGAGGGACCCAAGCCUGCUAAUUCUACACUUUUGCACACUCUCACUUUAUUGCCUACAGAAGAGCUCAGAAGGAGAGGGAGGGAGAGGGGGACGGGAAGUAGAACUGUCCCUGGGGUAGAAAUAAAUUGGAGUGCUGGACAUGUGCAUUAGGAGCCUACUAGGCUGUAUUGCAGAUGACUCAGUAUGCAAUGGGCAGGAAGGAGGGGUGAAGAGAGGAGUAGGCAGUUUUCUCCAAAGCUGCUUUACAACAACAUCCCUGAGUGUGAACAUAAGUGAGUCUACAUGUCUAUCUCUGCCUCUUCUACACAUACCUUUGCAGGUUGCUGUGUGGAGUUUUUUGGUGCCUUCUUUUCUAAUUUAACUUGAUUUCCUUGAGGAUGGCAGAGCUGGACAUGUUCAGGAAACCUCAGAAAAAGAGCUGUAUGUCACUAAGUCAGGAAGAGGGCCCAGAGGUCAGGGUUUCUCAUCUGGGGCCAUCAAUACCGGCCUCCUUCUAGCUCUGUCAGACACUUGGCCCCUUCUGGGUACUCUGGCAGAGUUUGGUACCAUUCUCUCACACUGAAGAGAGACCCUCAUAGGUAGAGGCAUUGCAAGCUGCAGGCUGUGGCUCACAUUGCAAUGUAGCUGUAUCAGCCAUGAUUUUUAGUUACAGGCAUCAGCCAACUCUGGCUGACUGAAGCCGAAGAGAGUUUGAUGCAAAGAACACUGGGUGGCUGGAGAAUCAGUAGGAAUGCUGACAGUAAGGCUGGAGAAUAAGCAGCCUGGAGCAGCACCGAGAAUCACAUGGUGGAAGGAGUCUGGAGAAACUUCUACUGCUUCAGCCAUUGAAUGUUGGGCACUAUCAUUGGCAUCACAGUCACCUCUGUGCACAAACUUGAACCUGCAGUAGGGAGAGAGAGAACUCCACCCUUCCUGUGUCUAGCUCCAGAGUCAAAACCCAGGGUGGCACAUGGUGGAUGGAUCCUGUGUACAGCCUGUGCCUGGCUGCAAAGGCUGCUGGGAAAGCCAGUUGCUGCAUUUUUGGCAUCUACAGUGGGAAGCAGCCACUGAAGACAAUGAAGACUCAUGAAGUGGGAACUUCUCAAUGAAAAAGGAGUUCAAAUAUUGGGUGGCCAAAUAAAAUGAUAAAUAUUCACUAUCAUUGCCUUAGUUGAGAAUCGAGAAGCUGGGGGCAGUGUGAGGGUACUGAUGGCAACAUUCUCUAACAGGUAUUGAGUGAUUAUUCUCUGGGCUAACUAUUCUAAAUGCAGUAUCUCAUUUAAUCCUUCCGACAAAUCUCCCAGGCAAUUACUAAUAUUGUACCUAUUUUCCAAAGGAGACAACUGGAUUGUAGACAUGACUGUGGCACAUACCUAGUAGGUGUCUGAGCUGAGGUUCUGGCGUAGGCAGUCUGUCUUCUGAGACUGUGCUCACAUUUUCAUGAUUGAGGGCUGGUGAGGAACUCUAGGGGUAUUUCUUUAAGUUAAAGCAUUAAAACCAGCUGUCCCUAGUGCUCAUCAUUCCAAUUAUGCCACAUUAACUCCAGUCUUUUAAAAAUCCCGUCUCAAGGUACUUCUAGGAGUCUCCAAGAUGGCUUGUGUGAACACGUGUCAGACCAGGUUAUUGGAGGCCACCGUGCUGUCACCUUCCUCUGCCAAGUCCAGGCCCACUGUGGGGACCGCUGUCCAGGCUUAGAAACUCCGUGGCUCUGUGAGGUGGAUGCAAUGAGUCUCAUUUGAUGGAUAAGAAAAGUGAUGCUCUGAGAGACAAAUAUGAUUCCUAAAACCACACAGGAGGCUAGUGGCAGAACCACACAGGAGGCUAGCGGCAGAACCACACAGGAGGCUAGCGGCAGAACCACACAGGAGGCCAGCGGCAGAGUCAGGAUGUAAACCUGGAUCUGGCAGAUUCCAGAGUUCCUAAGCCCUUGACUGUAGGCUUAGCAUCAUAUAGGUGUGUAUGUAAAGAGCUGCAAGCUGGUAAACCCCCACAAAAUAAAAAAGAACCAACUAACUCCAUUAUCAGUUAUUUAUAAAUUCAGAAACUAGUUGAAAAGAAAGAGAAAAAAAAUGACAAAUUUUUUAGGAUGCCUACUCUUUCAUAUGCCCUUGAAUGUGUGAUCAAACUCACUAGAGCAAGCCCUCCU
Molecule: long non-coding RNA, 7186 nt
Filed under: Homo sapiens (human)
Lineage: Eukaryota; Metazoa; Chordata; Mammalia; Primates; Hominidae
Description: HSALNT0053411
Source: RNAcentral